Molecule: ribosomal RNA, 490 nt
Filed under: uncultured bacterium
Lineage: Bacteria
Description: bacterial SSU rRNA
Rfam family: Bacterial small subunit ribosomal RNA
Source: RNAcentral
GAUUAACGCUGGCGGCAUGCCUAAUACAUGCAAGUCGAACGGAAGCAGCAAUGCUUUAGUGGCGAACGGGUGAGUAACACGUAGGGAACCUACCUAUACGACGAGGAUAACUACUGGAAACGGUAGCUAAAACUGGAUAGGAUCAAUUGAGGCAUCUUGAUUGAUUUAAAGAUCCUUCGGGAUUACGUAGAGAUGGCCCUGCGGCGCAUUAGCUAGUUGGUGAGGUAACGGCCCACCAAGGCGACGAUGCGUAGCUGAGCUGAGAGGCUAAACAGCCACACUGGGACUGAGACACGGCCCAGACUCCUACGGGAGGCAGCAGUAGGGAAUUUUCGGCAAUGGGGGAAACCCUGACCGAGCAAUGCCGCGUGAACGAUGAAGGUCUUCGGAUUGUAAAGUUCUGUGAUUGGGGAAGAAUGGUAUUCUUAGGGAAUGAGGAGUACAUGACGGUACCCGAUUAGAAAGCCCCGGUAACUAUGUGCCAGCAGCC